UGGGGAAUCUUAGACAAUGGGGGAAACCCUGAUCUAGCCAUGCCGCGUGGACGAUGAAGGCCUUAGGGUUGUAAAGUCCUUUCAGCUGGGAAGAUAAUGACGGUACCAGCAGAAGAAGCCCCGGCUAACUCCGUGCCAGCAGCCGCGGUAAUACGGAGGGGGCUAGCGUUGUUCGGAAUUACUGGGCGUAAAGCGCACGUAGGCGGAUUGGAAAGUUGGGGGUGAAAUCCCGGGGCUCAACCUCGGAACUGCCUCCAAAACUAUCAGUCUUGAGUUCGAGAGAGGUGAGUGGAAUUCCGAGUGUAGAGGUGAAAUUCGUAGAUAUUCGGAGGAACACCAGUGGCGAAGGCGGCUCACUGGCUCGAUACUGACGCUGAGGUGCGAAAGCGUGGGGAGCAAACAGG
RNAcentral lists this ribosomal RNA (404 nucleotides) under uncultured Paracoccaceae bacterium. RNAcentral's name for it is "bacterial SSU rRNA". It matches the Rfam family "Bacterial small subunit ribosomal RNA", at positions 355 to 776 of the family's 1533-position model. Lineage: Bacteria; Pseudomonadati; Pseudomonadota; Alphaproteobacteria; Rhodobacterales; Paracoccaceae. The record is from RNAcentral.